UUAAUAAUAGAUAAAAAAUAAUUAUGUUUAAAAAAUUUUAUUAAAAGUUUAUUUUAUAUAUAAAUUUUAGUGUAAAAUUAUUAUUAUUUUAAUAAUAAUAAUAAUGUUAUUGUAGUAAAUAAAAUUAAAAAUUUAAGAAAUUAAGAUUUAGUAAUACAGAAAUUAAUAACAAAUUUUGUGCCAGCAGUUGCGGUUAUACAAAAAUUAAAUUAAAUUAUUUCAGUAUAUAAAUAAUAAAUUAAAUUAAAAUAAAUAUUAAAUUAUUAGGUGAAAUUUUAAUUUAAAUAAAUUUUAUUAAAAAAUUUAUGUUUUAAUAAAUUUUAUUAUAAACUAGGAUUAGAUACCCUAUUAUUAAAAAUUUAAAUUAUAAUACUAAAAUAGUAGAUAAUUAUUUAUUGAAACUUAAAUAAUAUGGCGGUAUUUUAGUUCAUUUAGAGGAAUCUGUUUAAUAAUUGAUAGUCCACGAUUAAAUUUACUUAAUUAAUAAUUUUAUAUAUCGUUGUUAAAAAAAUAUUUUUAAUAAAAAAUAAUAUUUAAAAAUUAAAAUAAAAAAUUAAUUCAGAUCAAGAUGUAGAUUAUAAUUAAGAAUAUAAUGGAUUACAAUAAAUUUAUUUAAAAUGAAUAUAUUAUUGAAAAAUAAUAUUGAAGGUGGAUUUAAAUGUAAUUUUAUUUAGUUAAUUAAAAUGAUUAAAAAUUAAAAUAUGUACAUAUUGGUCACUUUCAUUUAAACCCAAUUGAAAUAAGUCGUAACAAAGUAGAAGUACUGGAAAGUGUUUCUAGAAAGAA
This 786-nucleotide non-coding RNA is filed under the name Ideopsis similis (Ceylon blue glassy tiger). Lineage: Eukaryota; Metazoa; Arthropoda; Insecta; Lepidoptera; Nymphalidae. The record is from RNAcentral.